This 429-nucleotide ribosomal RNA is filed under the name Bacteroidota bacterium. Its description in RNAcentral is "Bacteroidetes bacterium partial 16S ribosomal RNA". It matches the Rfam family "Bacterial small subunit ribosomal RNA", at positions 355 to 776 of the family's 1533-position model. Lineage: Bacteria; Pseudomonadati; Bacteroidota. The record is from RNAcentral.
UAGGGAAUCUUCCGCAAUGGACGCAAGUCUGACGGAGCAACGCCGCGUGAGUGAAGAAGGAUUUCGGUUCGUAAAACUCUGUUGUUAGAGAAGAACAGCGCAUAGAGUAACUGUUAUGCGUGUGACGGUAUCUAACCAGAAAGCCACGGCUAACUACGUGCCAGCAGCCGCGGUAAUACGUAGGUGGCAAGCGUUGUCCGGAUUUAUUGGGCGUAAAGCGAGCGCAGGCGGUCAAUUAAGUCUGAUGUGAAAGCCCCCGGCUCAACCGGGGAGGGUCAUUGGAAACUGGUUGACUUGAGUGCAGAAGAGGAGAGUGGAAUUCCAGGUGUAGUGGUGAAAUGCGUAGAUAUAUGGAGGAACACCAGUGGCGAAGGAGACUCUCUGGUCUGUAACUAACGCUGAGGCUCGAAAGCGUGGGUAGCAAACAGG